This is a long non-coding RNA of Melopsittacus undulatus (budgerigar), 656 nucleotides long. RefSeq lists it as uncharacterized. Lineage: Eukaryota; Metazoa; Chordata; Aves; Psittaciformes; Psittaculidae. The transcript has 5 exons. The record is from RefSeq and is a predicted model, not a curated record.
AGACAAGCUGCCUUCCAGCCACAAUCCCUCACCAUGGCUGAUGCAGUGGUAACCUCCAUAGAUGGCAGCCAGCAGCAGAACCACAGUGGGACCUGCAGUGAUACGAGGGCUGGCACUUUGGAUUGCAACAUGACUGAAAGGAAAAGCGUGAAGGCUACAGGAAUUUCUGCUCUAUGGAAAAAUGUUAUUUUUGGAGUCUUCGGGAAGGCGUGCAUAUAAACCCCCGGUUCCCUGGUAUCUGCUCCAGCCAGUGCUCCAUCCUCUUAUUCUCAUCCCACAUUAUGCCUGGAUAGCCUGAUGGGCCAUGGGAAGCCUUCUGCUGUUUCCAGACAUCGGGGCAGUUUUGCAUCCCUGUGCCAGGUCUGUGUCCAUGUACUGGUGGCUGGGAUGGCUGCCCAGCAGGGAGACGUCCUGCUGGCUCCCAGGCUGCCUUAGGGAAGAAGCUGCUGCUUCUGAUCAUCUCUGAGACACUGGAGCCAGCAGUUUCCUGGACAGAGAUGUCUUCUCAGCACAAUUUAAGGAGUCUCAGAGGCUGCACCAUCCUUGGGCCGGCUGAAUGUGACUUCUCCUCCCCAUCCACUUCAUCUUGCACCAGUACCUGCUUGUGAGAACCCUGGGAGCCAACCACUGUGCUGACAUUGGAUCAUAAUGGACCA